RNAcentral lists this long non-coding RNA (1307 nucleotides) under Homo sapiens (human). RNAcentral describes it as "HSALNT0061734". Lineage: Eukaryota; Metazoa; Chordata; Mammalia; Primates; Hominidae. The record is from RNAcentral.
GUUUAAUUGACUUACAGUUCUGCAGAUUGUAAAGGAGACAUGGCUGGGAGACCUCAGGAAACUUAACAGUUACAGCAGAAGGAGAAGGAGAGGCAAGUAUGUCUUACAAUGGCAAAGCAGGAGAGAGAACAAAGGGGGAAAGGCUACACACUUUUAAACCACAAGAUCUUGUGAAAACUCACUCAGUAUCUUGAGAACGACAAGAGGAAAAUCUGCCCCCAUGAUUCAAUCACCUCCCAUGAGACCCUCUCCUCUAAAACAUGGGAAUGACAAUUUGACAUGAGAAUUGUGUGGGGACACAGAACCAAACCAUAUCAUUCCACCAUGGCUCCUCCCAAAUCUCAUGUCCUUCUCACAUUUCAAAACAGAAUCAUGCCUUCCCAAUAGUCCCCCAGGUCUUAACUCAUUUCAGCAUUAACUCAAAAUCCAAGUCCAAAGUCUCAUCUGAGACAAAGCAAGUCUCUUCUGCCUAUGAGCCUGUAAAAUAAAAAACAAGUUAGUUACUUCAAAGAUACAAGGGGGGUAGAGGCAUUGGGUAAAUUUCUCCCAUUCCAAAAGGGAGAAAUUGGCCAAAACAAAGGGGUUACAGGCCCCAUACAAGUCCAAAACCAAGCAGGAAACUCAUUAAAUCUUAAAGCUCCAAAAUAAUCUCCUUUCAGUCCAUGUCUUACAUCCAGGGCAUGCUUAUGUAAGGGGUGGGCUCCUACGGCCUUGGGCAGCUCUUCCCCUAUGGCUCUUCAGGGUACAGCCACCACAGCUGCUUUCACAGGAUGGUGUUCGGUGCGUAUGGCUUUUCCAGACACAUAGUGCAAGCUGUUGGUUGAACCAUCAUUCAGGAAUCUGAAGGACAGUGGCUCUCUUCUCACAGCUCUACUAGGCACUGCCCCAGUGGGGAGUCUGCAUGGAGGCUCCAACCUCACAUUUCCCCUCUGCACUGCCCUAGUAGAGGUUCUUCAUGAGGUCUCCACCCUUGCAGCAGAUUUCUACCUGGAUAUGCAGGUGUUUCUGUACAUCCUAUGAAAUCUAGGCAAAGGCUCCCAAACUCCAACUCUUGCCUUCUGCACACCACAGGCCCAACACCAUGUGGAAGCUGCCAAGGCUUGGGACUUGCCCCCUCUGAAGUCAUGACCCAAGCUGUACCUUGGUCCCUAUUAGCCAUAGCUGGAGUUGGAGUGGCUGGGACACAGGGUGCCAUGUCCCAAGGCUGUACAGAGCAACGGGGCCUUGGGCCUGGCCCCAGAAAAUGGGAUUUUCUUUUCUACCACAUGGUCAGGCUCUGUUUGUGAGCACAUAUAACUGAAUGCUUU